UUUUGGAUCUUCACCUGCCUGAUUUAGACGGCUUCGAAGUAACCAUGAGAAUUCGGGAGUUUCGUAGCCGCAACUGGCCAUUGAUCGUUGGUUUUGCAUCCGCUGAUGAAGAUGUUAGUGGAAGAUGCCUGCAGAUUGGAAUGAAUGGAAUUAUUCGUAAGCCGGUGCUACUGCCUGGAAUUGCUGAUGAGCUUCAAAGGGUCCUUCUACAGGCAAGCAUAAUCACGUGAUGAUGUUAAGACUGCCUUAUAGUGGAGCAUAAUAAGGCAGGGCUUCAUUUAACAACCUAAUGCUAAGCAAACAAAAUUGCUUAGGACCAACCGCUGCCCACCCAUGAAGAUUCCAGCAGACAGAUGUUACAUACAAACAUUGAAAUCAAAUUGGUAUAGAAAAUAUAUCUUCUCUUUUCUUUACAUAAUCUUUAAGCUAUACAGGAUUUGGCCGCCAGGUGCGCGCCCUUUCAACAUUUUAUUGAGCUUAACAACUGAUCAGAAUUUAUCUAAGUUGUCCCUAAAACUGAAGUAGUUACGAAAUGACUCGAGAAUAGCUCCAUUCUAAGCUAUAAAGCACUAGAUUCAUGCAUUAAGAUUUGCUUUAGCAGAAAAUCUGUUGCCAAUUGAAAAUUUUGGGUGAAGAAUGUCCAAAUGGCUGAUUUGAAAUGUACCCUUAUCUGAUUAUGCAUUUACAGAUAUACUAAAAUAGUAAAACACUUCACAGAUGAGACUAUACAUACUUUUGGGACUUUAGUGAAGUAGGUUCUUGCACUUUUGCUUAUGUCUCUUUGGGUUAUGGACUUUUAGUUUCAUGACCUCGCAAAAUAUUAUCAGCUUUGUUGUUUGACAACAUUAUAUCCUCGUUGAUUUGAAGAAAAUGAAUGCUCCAUUGAUUGAAAGAAAUUGUGUUCACAAGAUGUAAAGUUGACGACAAUAAUUUAAUGAUGAACCCCUAUCUGUUUGUCUCCAACUUGGGUCUAGAGAGUGAUAGUCAGACUGGUGAUUUCUAUGUAGGAUCUGAUUUUGAUCUUUGUGUAUGCAUUAGGUGGUUAGGAGUCCCUUUGGUUUCAAGUCAUGAAUGAGCUUCUAUAAUGUUAAUUACAUUACAACAGAAGAAUUUGGCAACUCCAUUCAAACUCAUUGGAAAAGCUAUUCUAGAUGAAUAUGUGUAGUGCCUAAAUUUGGUUCCAAGAGAAUUGUCUCCUUGGACAUACCCGAAACACCAUAAGAAGCAUUGCCUUGUUAGAAUCACUACUAUAUAUCUUAUUAGAAGUAGAAGAGAAAAAUAAAAGGAUGGGGUGGAUAAGGGAACGGGCUAUACAUUUAAGUAGCUACCGAAACUUCCUAAUUCCUAUAGCAAGUACUAGAGGCAGAUGUAGCCUUGCGGCACCGGGUUUAUCUGAGCCAAUUAUUUUUGACGCGGAGUAUAAAUUUAUGUGUAAAUAAAGGCACUAGACAAUGUUCUAUGACCCGCCUGAUAGCAACUUGGUUCAGGAAUCUGGACUGCAUGUUUUAUCUUGGAUUAAAUUUUUAUUCAGGCUGUAUUGGUUUUAUGACUUAUGCUUGGUCCUUUUGCAUAUGGCUAUUUUUCAACUUCAUUAUCCUAGGCAUGGGCAUUUACAUGUAAGCCCAUUCCUCGUUUGUGUGUUUUAGGGGGGAAGGCCAUCAGAAGUGGGAAGGGUAUGGAAGAAUAAUAAAUUAAAUAGGUCAAAGAUGCCUUCAUGUUAUUUGUUUCUCUGAACCUAGUGACAAAAUUAGACACCAUGCAUGAACUUGAGUACGUACAUGCACUCCAUUUUUUGGCCAUUAUGUGUCUAUACACAGUCCUCUAUGAGCUCCUCCCCCCCCACCCCACCCCCUCAAAUCCCUUUUAUCUCCACUAGCCUACCUAUGAUAUUUUCCUUAGAUAUUUAAAAAGCUUUACUCCUCAUAUAGAAUAAACACCCACUUCUAGAAUAACAUUCCUCGGGAAGAUCGGUGUUAUAAUCCAUUACAAAUGUUCUUUUAGUUAUAAAAACAUUUUUUUCAUUGGGAGAUUGGUAAAAAAUAACGUAAGAGAUCGGUAAUUAAAACAUUGGAGAUCUUUGUAUGGUUACAUUCUUUUAUUCAAACAGUAAGUAGUCAUAAGGGAUCAUAUUUUCACUUCUUACAUCAUAAAUACAGCCUUCUGCCUUUAUUUUCUAGGUUGUAGCAUACUUGAACUUGCAUACUCAUAUUUCGAUUUACUUUCGAUCAGAGGCGGAGCUAAUAUUUAAAGUGUAUGAGUUCUAAAUUAUAAGAUAAGAUUAUGAUCUAAAACUAAUAUACAAUAACAAGCUGGCUAAAUAAUGAGUAUCGAUAUCUAAUACAUAUUAAAGGUAACGAACCAGACAAACACAAUAUAUGAAUAUAAACAUUAUCAUUUCAAUUGCACUCGACGACUUGUCAUGUUUUGAAAACGAUCAAUGAUCAUAUCAUUAGGUACACUUUCAAAUACUUCAUCUUCUAUAUAACAAACUAAAUAAUCAUUCAAAAAGUCAUCACCAAUUCUGCUUCGCAAGUCAUUUUUAAUAAACUUCAUUGAAGAAAAAGCCCUUUCGACUGUUGCAGUAGCCACAGGUAAUAUCAAACUUAGUUUCACAAGCAAAUAAACAAGUCCCCAUGUCUUAUGAAUAUUUGUUUUAACCAAUGUCUUCGAGAGAUCGCCAAGCCCUUUCAAGUUAGAGAAUGCAUUGUCCAUUUAUCGUACAUAGUCAAUAUAGUUGUCAAACUCAAAACUAAUAUCUUCAAGCUUGGAAGUAGUGGACUCAUUUUGAUAAUAUGUAGCAAGUUUCAUAAUCUUGUUUUUAUCAUAAUUUGCAAAAGAAUCAUCGGAACUCAAACUAGCCAUACCAAGAAGUAGAUCAGUAUUCACUUCACUAAAACGACUGUUAAGCUCCGAAAGUUACAAAUCAAUCGCGGCACAAAAAACUUCUACAUGCAAAUGAUGAGAAUAUGUAACAGUUGAGCUUUUACGCUUCGACUUUCUAAGACCAUACUUCUCAUCCAUUUUUGGGAUCACAAUACCAUUCUUAUCACAAAACGAAGAGACAUCUUCUAACAAAGAAUUCCAUUUAGAUUCCCUCAUUGUUUGCAAUUGCCUCUUUGUAAAAUGAACAAGUUUCAUAGCACUAACAAUAUCUUGAUCUUUUCUUUGCAGAGCCAUAUUCAAAUUAUAUGUAAUUGCCAUUAUUUUUAACAUCAAAUGUAUAUAUACACAAACUCAUAAGAUCUUAUAUCUUCCGCUAGAUUUUUUGCCAGUACUUUCUCCUGAUAAUUUAAACCCUCAUUUGCAAGAACUCCAAGUACAUGAACAAUUGAUGAGAAUAAAGAAAUAAAGUUACGCAAUGUCUUAAAGUGAGAUCCCCAACGGGUAUCACCUGGUCUUUGAAGCCCAAGUUCUUGAUUUAAUCCACUUCCUAUAUGAACUUCACCAAACACUAAUAACUCAUCUAAUUUUUCAGUUUGAUCAUCUCUAAGCAUCUCCCUAUGCUUAUAAGAACCUCCAACAACAUUCAAAAUAUUAGCAAGAAUGUCAAAAAAAUUAUUUAUAUCAUGGUGUUUCUUUGUGACAGCUACAAGAGUCAAUUUCAAUUGAUGAGCAAAGCAAUGUACGCAAUAUGCCGAAGGAUUAUCUUUCAGAAUCAAAGCUUUAAGACCAUCGAUUUCUCCUUGCAUGGUACUAGCUCCAUCAUACCCUUGUCCCCGUAUUAAAGAUGAACGCAAUGAAUGUUAUAAAAGCAAAGAAUUUAUUGCUUUUUGUAAUGCAUGUGCAGUUGUAUCUUUAACAUGAACAAGACCAAGGAAUCGCUCAAUAAGUUCACCCUCCUUGUUGACAUAACGCAAAACAAGAGCCAUUUGUUCCUUAUGAGAGACAUCUUUAGACUCAUCAACUAGUAUCCCAAAAAAAUCCCCAUUCAAGUCUUCAAUAAUUGCUUUCGCUAUUUUUUUUGCACAAGAAUUCACAAUAUUUUUCUGAAUAUCAGGACAAGUCAUGGUGUUAUUUUUUGGAGCUUUUUCUAAUAUCAUAUUUUUCACAUCUUCCUUCCUAUCUGCAUACCAUUUUAAGAGAUCUAAAAAAAGGCUUCUUCUUGUAGAAAUUACACUCUCAUCAUGGCCCCAAAAAGACAUUCCUUCUUUCAAAAGAUACCUUAUCACAUCAAUUGAAGCAUUCAAGCGAACUCGAUGUUCCCUUUUAGUUUUCUCAGAUUGCUUGUACAAAUAUGUUAGAAUAGAUUGUGCUUGAUUCAUUAAAUCUAGCAUCAUCUUGAAACAUUGAUUAUGAACACUAUUCACGUCACCCAUAUGUGAUUUAAGCCUUUUUAAACCUUUAUUCCAACCUCUAAAAUCAUCUGUUGUGAAAGUAUCACCUACUUUUUUUCCAUAUCCUCCAACCUCAUUUUUAAACAAGUAACAACAUAAAUAAAAUGUUGCAUCUUAUUUAAUGCUAUAUUAUAACCAUUGAGAACAUGAAGUUUUAAACUAUUCAGGAUUAAACUGAUGUAUUAUUCCUCCAAAAUCUCUUUUUGGAAAGACAAAACCACGAGGUUGAUAAGGUCCAUUUUGUAUAUAAUUUUUCCUUACUCUGUCACGUAAAUUAGGUGGAUAUGCUGAAAUUGGUUUUCUUUCAGCGAGAUCGGGCUCAUAAUCUAACACUUUAUUCGAUGCUUGGGAAGGAUUAAUAUUGUUACUAAUAAUUGGACAUAGAGAACUUGACAAAGGAGAGCUAGAAGAAGCUGCAGAAGCUUGAGCUUUGUAAAAACUCGUGAUCAUAUCGACUUUUGCUAGAAGACCCUAAAAAUGACAAAACACAAAUUAAACUUCAAGUUGUAUGUUUCACAAUGCUAUAAAAAAUCUAUUCUUUAUCUUCUUUGACAUAGUUCAAUUUGUAAACUUAGUCUAGCUAGCUAGUAUAUAUAGUAAAGUCAAUUCAAUUUAUUCAUCUCACAAAGAGACCCACUUUAUAAAAAGAUUAAAAGAAAAAACUGAACCAACAUUGGAAGCAUUCAAAGUGUUAAAAAGCCACUACAUAUGAAAGUUUGCUUCUUUCUGAGUAGUAUCCAUGAGAAUGCAAGUUGGUCUCACUAAGAAACUAAAAAUAAGAAAGUAGGACCACAUACCUUGUCUGUCGAUUUGUCGGAGAAUUCAAGUUUGAACUUUUGAAAAGUACAAAAGCACAAAUUGACAAAGAGAAUGAAGUUCAAAAUGUGGGACAACCCUAGAAUCAAAGAUUAAAAAUCAGAUUUUGUAUAAAUUGUCAAAUAUAAAAUAUAAGAGGAAAACAUGAAGAAAAAAAUCAGGAAAGAAGAAUUGAAGAAGGAAGAAGGGUCUAACUUCUAAGGGAGAAAGAGCAUACACUGAUACACAGUGAGAGUUUGAGGGCAUCCGGCUCCGACAGAUGGUGGUAGCAGUGAUCAAAAGACUGACAGAGGCAGAACCCUAGCUUUUUUGAUUUGGGAAUUGAAAAGACGAGAAGGCGUGUUGGCUGUUUUUGUUUAAAAAGAUUUGUUUAUU
This 5525-nucleotide long non-coding RNA is filed under the name Nicotiana tabacum (common tobacco). RNAcentral's name for it is "long non-coding RNA (NTAB_LNC012438)". The record is from RNAcentral. Lineage: Eukaryota; Viridiplantae; Streptophyta; Magnoliopsida; Solanales; Solanaceae.